Molecule: long non-coding RNA, 810 nt
Organism: Cornus florida
Lineage: Eukaryota; Viridiplantae; Streptophyta; Magnoliopsida; Cornales; Cornaceae
Exons: 3
Source: RefSeq, a predicted model, not a curated record
UCUAAAUUUUACACUCCCGCGUGUGGUGAUGACACAUUCGCCAAAGCCCUUUCAUGUUCAUUUACUAAUUUCUUUACUCUACAGUCUACACAAAAGCCUUCCCAAAACCUUCUCUCUCCACAAAAGCCUUCCCAAAACCUUCUCUCUCCACAAAAGCCCUAAUCAAUUUGUUCAUUUACAAUUUCUACCCCACAAAACCCUAAUCAAAUUGCCGUGACGGCUAACUAUUUCUCUCUCCACAAAAGCCCCAAUGCCCAUGUACUGAUAUCUUCUAUCUUCAGGAAAACCCACUAAACAACCCAAUCGGAAUCAGUUUCUCUCUUGGUGGUCUUCGAUCGAAGGUCAAUUUCUCAGCUACUCAAUAAUCGGACGUAAAGGAGUUUCUAAUCACAGCACAUAAGGAUCAGUUAGGUUCGAUUUAUCAUCAUAUUCGAAGAACACUGUGUUGUCAUUAUCUUAUAUCAUAUCUUGUUUUUGAAAGAGAAAGUAGUAUAUAUCAAAUUCUGCUAUUUAAUUGGAAGAUCAUUCGCUAAGAAGACUCGUCAAUCAAUCGAAGCUCUGAGAAACUAAGGUAGAACAAGCACUAUCACAAUGGAUGCUGGAUGUUGUUGUUCCCUCAAUGAAGUCACUGAUUGUGAAUUAAUUAUUGAGGCACCCGGAAAUUGGUAGAAUUGCUUUUGACAAUUAGAUUUCCUUUUCUAUUUUGGCACAUUGAACAUUGAUGAAUUGUGAAAAUGUCUUUGAUAUGUUUAAUUGUAUAUUUCAAUGGAAUACAAUGGAUGGUUAUUUUCAUUAAGUGAAAAUUGUUAG